GAUGAACGCUGGCGGCGUGCUUAACACAUGCAAGUCGAACGAGGUCCAACCUUUGGGUGAAGACCGAGUGGCGAACGGGUGAGUAACACGUGGGGAACCUGCCCUUCUCUCUGGGAUAACUCCGGGAAACCGGAGCUAAUACUGGAUACUCCUUGCGGAUCGCAUGGUCUGCUCGGGAAAGCUCCGGCGGAGAAGGAUGGCCCCGCGGCCCAUUAGCUUGUUGGUGGGGUAACGGCCUACCAAGGCGACGAUGGGUAGCCGAGCUGAGAGGCUGAUCGGCCACACUGGGACUGAGACACGGCCCAGACUCCUACGGGAGGCAGCAGUGGGGAAUCUUGCGCAAUGGGCGAAAGCCUGACGCAGCAACGCCGCGUGCGGGAUGAAGGCCCUCGGGUCGUAAACCGCUUUCAGCAGGGAUGAAGAUGACAGUACCUGCAGAAGAAGCCCCGGCUAAAUACGUGCCAGCAGCCGCGGUAAUACGUAUGGGGCAAGCGUUAUCCGGAUUCAUUGGGCGUAAAGCGCGCGUAGGCGGCUUGUUAAGUCAGGCGUGAAAUCCGGGGGCUCAACCCGCGGCUUGCGUCUGAAACUGGCAGGCUUGAGUCUGGUAGAGGAAAGUGGAAUUCCUGGUGUAGCGGUGAAAUGCGCAGAUAUCAGGAGGAACACCAGUGGCGAAGGCGGCUUUCUGGGCCACGACUGACGCUGAGGCGCGAAAGCUAGGGGAGCGAACA
Molecule: ribosomal RNA, 728 nt
Filed under: uncultured Coriobacteriaceae bacterium
Lineage: Bacteria; Bacillati; Actinomycetota; Coriobacteriia; Coriobacteriales; Coriobacteriaceae
Also listed under: 2 other names
Description: bacterial SSU rRNA
Rfam family: Bacterial small subunit ribosomal RNA
Source: RNAcentral